RNAcentral lists this ribosomal RNA (539 nucleotides) under uncultured bacterium. Its description in RNAcentral is "bacterial SSU rRNA". It matches the Rfam family "Bacterial small subunit ribosomal RNA", at positions 777 to 1308 of the family's 1533-position model. The record is from RNAcentral.
AAUAGAUACCCGGGUAGUCCACGCCGUAAACGAUGAGUGCUAGGUGUUGGGGGGUUCCACCCUCAGUGCUGAAGUUAACACAUUAAGCACUCCGCCUGGGGAGUACGACCGCAAGGUUGAAACUCAAAGGAAUUAGACGGGGCCCGCGACAAGCAGUGGAGCAUGUGGUUUAAUUCGUAAGCAACGCGAAGAACCUUACCAGGUCUUGACAUCCUUUGACCACUCUAGAGAUAGAGCCUUUUCCCCUUCGGGGGGACAAAGUGACAGGUGGUGCAUGGUUGUCGUCAGCUCGUGUCGUGAGAUGUUGGGUUAAGUCCCGCAACGAGCGCAACCCUUGACCUUAGUUGCCAGCAUUCAGUUGGGCACUCUAAGGUGACUGCCGGUGACAAACCGGAGGAAGGUGGGGAUGACGUCAAAUCAUCAUGCCCCUUAUGACCUGGGCUACACACGUGCUACAAUGGAUGAUACAAAGGGUUGCGAAAGCCGCGAGGCCAAGCCAAUCCCAAAAAGUCAAUUCUCAAGUUCGGAUUGUAGGCUGC